Acinonyx jubatus (cheetah) is the source of this 5492-nucleotide long non-coding RNA. RefSeq lists it as uncharacterized. The record is from RefSeq and is a predicted model, not a curated record. Lineage: Eukaryota; Metazoa; Chordata; Mammalia; Carnivora; Felidae. The transcript is spliced from 2 exons.
AGAGGAGCAUCAUACCAGCUCCCAAGCAGUACGUGUGGCAGCAGCGAUUACAGCUAAGGAGGAGCUAAACUCUAGAGGCUUGUGCUGUCUCCAGGGAAUACACCAAUUGAAAAACAACAUCCAUAAAAAAUAAUUCAGUACUAGUAUGUAAAACUAAAAACAAUAACGAAGUGUGGCUGGCUGUCGCGAAUUAAGGAAAGCAAGACAAAGUGUGUCUUGCCAGCAGGUAACUCCCAGCAAGGGAGAGCAAGGGCCACAGCGAUUCUCACUCCCCACCUUCGAGGGGAAGGUGUCACCUUUGGCUGCAGGAGUUCACACCUCUUGGCAGCAGCUCUGAAUCUCUUUGGGCACCAGCUUCUGGGAAGCAGAGUCAGUUAAGACUGUUUUUUGGGGCACAAGGAGGUCUCACACUAAAGCACACAGCCCUACAGCCAGAGGUGUGCUGAUCAAUGUUCAACACCUGGGCCUCUGGGAGAAAAUAGAGUGUGCAUGUAUUCAUAUACACACAUACAGAGCUAUUGUAAGUUGCUGGUAGAAUAAAUGCUUAGCACAUAAUUUACAAAUAAUAAUAUGCACAAUACUAAUUCUUAUAAGCAGUCACCACUGUCUAAUUCCAGAACAUUUUUAUCUUCUCCCAAAGAUGCCCCAUAUCCAUCAGUCAUUCCCCGUCCUCACCUGCGUCCCCUAGAAACUAUUAAUCUCCUUUCUGUCUCUAUGGAGUUGCCUAUUCUUAAUAGAAUAUUUCAUAUAUGUAUGGUUAUUUUUGUCUGGUUAUUUCAUUUAGCAUAAUGUAUUCAAAUUUCAUUCAUGUGAUAGCAUCUGUCAGGACUUCAUUCCUUUAUAUCAGUAAGUAAUAUUCCAUUGUAUGGAUAUACCACAUUUUCUUUAUCUGCUUACCAGCUGAUGAACAUUGAGUUGUUUCUCCUUCUAAUUUGGCCAUUAUGAACUUUGCUACUAUAAUCAUUCAUGUGCACGUUUUUUCUGGACACCUGUUUUCUAUUCUGUUGGGUAUAUACUUAGGAGUGGAAUAUGGGGGGUCAUAGAGUAUAUUUAAUUUUUUGAGAAAUCACCAAAUGGUUUUUCCACAGUGUCUGCAUCAUUUUAUAUUCCAACUCACAGUGAAUGAUGGUUCCAAUUUCUCUACAGCCUUGCCAACCCUUGUAUGUUCUCUUUGUUUGCUUGUUGUUUUUAUUACAGCUAUCCCAGUAGAUGUGAAGUGGUAUCUUAUUGUGGUUCUGAUUUGCAUUUCCCUAAUGACUAAUGAUGGUGAGCAUCUUUUCAUAUGCUUAUUGCCCAUUUGCGUAUCUCCUUUGGAGAAAUGUCUAUUCAGCUCUUUUAUCUGUCUUUUUUUUUUUUUAAUGUUUAUUUACUUUUGAGAGAGAGACAGAGCACAAGCAGGGGAGGGGCAGAGAGAGACAGAGACACAGAAUCCAAAGCAGGCUCCAGGCUCUAAGCUGCCAGCACAGAACCCAAUGCAGGGCUUGAAGUUACAAACCGUGAGGUCCUGACCUGAGCCGAAGUCUGAUGCUCAACCGACUGAGCCCCAGGUGCCCCUUUUCCGUCUUUUAAUUGGAUUAUGGUUUUUUGUUGAGUUGUAAUAUUCUGGAUACUAGAACCUUAUCAAUAUGUGGUUUGCACAUAGGUUUUUCUAGUCUGUAGGUGAUCUUUUAACUCUCUUGUUAAUAUCCUCUGAUGGACAAAACCUUUAAAUGUUGAUGAAGUCCAGUGUAUUUAUUUAUUUAUUUUGUCUUUUGCAGCUUGUGCUUUUGGGGUCAUAUCUAAGAAUCAAAGCAAGUCAUAGGGAUGGGGGCCCUGCACAUUUGCAUGAUAGAGGGCACACGUAAGAGUGUAGUGAAGAACUGGGGCCAUUAAUACAAUUUUGUCACACCAUGAUUGGCUUACAUUGUCUUCAGUAUGUCUGCCAGGAACUUUGCCACCCAAACAGAAUCACAAUUCUGUUAGCAAGAAAGGAAGAAGAACAGUUUGGGCAGACAACAUGUAGAGCUUACAACCCAAAUUGAUUGGGAAUCUCACCUGUAGGAAUCUGAGAUCAAGGCUGGCCAAAGCACUGUGCGAUGGCUGAGGAUGUGUUUGGUACCUCUCCGCGAGGGAUAGAGCGUGGUCAUGGAAGCAAACGUCCAGGAAGGCCAAGCCACUCACCAGGAUCCCCAACAGAGAGCUUGAUUGUCCAUAGCUCUGUUCUCUGUUUUCCCUGGAUGGCUGAGGCUUAGCAGUAACAGAUCCCAAGCAUAGAAGGAGAGAGAACUGUUGGCAGAAAAAGGAGGAAAGACACAGAUCCAAAUCCCUGUUGAUAACCAGGAUGGUGGAACAGGGAUCUCUCUCUGUAUUCUAGUGACUCUCAAGUGAUACCAGUAUGAUCCGUAAGAUGGAGAAUCUCCUUCCUGUUUCUAGUUGAAAUGACCAAAUUCUUUUACUCUUCAAAGUUGGAAUGAUACAACAUAGACUGUUCAGCUGCUCUUGACUCAAGAAUAUAAACUGACCACUGACUUUCCUCAUUUUUUAUCCAAUUUUGCGUUCCAUAAGCCCAGAUAUGACUUCAUUCAUUCGUAUGAAAUUUUGCAGGUCGUUAGCCCAUAAUUAAAUGAUUCUGGUUAUUAGCAUAAAGCACAGCUGUGGUACAUGAGAGGUAACCUUUAUUGUUUAAAUAUUAUGCAGUGUGUUCACAUAGUGCCCAGCAAAAUUCUAUUUUUUCAGACUAUUCAGCCAUUAUGGAAAUGCCUUAUGAUUUCAUUCAGAAAUGUUACAAAUGCACUUCAUCAUUUCAGUGGGGGUAAACAUUGCCUGGAAUAGUUCCUAAGAGGAAACCAGGUCAGGAACAGGGAAAUUUUUGACAUGGAAGAGAGCCCCCAGCAGGUAGGGCUCAGAAAGACUCGUGCCAUGUGGAAAAGUUCUUAAUAUCUUGGGCUUUUGAGUAGCAGUGACCUGGAUUCAAAUCCCCCUUUCUGUGUCCCCUUAGGCAAAAUACUUAAACUCUCUGAACACCAAUUUCCCCGUCCAAAAACCCCCCAAAAGGGUAAGUUAUGCCUCCCUCUUAGGGUUCCUGUGAGAUUCAAGGAGGGAAGGUCUUCUUGUGGUGGGCACAGCCCUGGACCCAUAGUGAACGCUCAGCAUCAUAGCUGCUGCUAUUAUUACUGCUAUUGCUGGUGCCAUUACUCUCACACGCUAGUAUAAUAAUGGCGAUGCUCUGGCCUGGGAAGGUGGGGACCCCUGUCGUUAGACAGCCCAAGCAGCACCUGCCUGUUGCAGAAGGUUGAGCAGCGGGCCAUGGAACUGCCACCUGUGGCUCCUUGGACCUGUCUGCCCUUGAGUAAGUCAGUGACGAAGAAAUGACUUGCCUUUUGUGGAGUAACUUUGUGCCUGGCAUACUGCAGAUAUCCGUGGUUGACCAAUUAAUCUUGUCAUUAUCACACAAGCAUUCCAGUAAGUCUGUAAAUAGUUGGAGUUGGGGGCUUCAGGCUGGUCUCUGAGUUGGUGGUUUCUCCAGUCGAUCCAAUGUACGUGGUGGUGGCGAAGGAGAUCCCUCCUUGAAGAAUAGCACUGGUGAUGGUGCUGGAGAUAGUGAUAAUGUUGAUCAUGACAGUGAUCAUAGCCUGAAUUAUCGAGCGCUCAAAAGAUGGUAGAUACGGUGCUACAUGCUUUACAGGUUAUUGUGUCAUUUACAUUCCACAGAUAAUCGCUUUCUACAUACAAGGAAAAUGAGGGGCAAACACUUCAACUUAUCUCUGAUCUCACGUAGGGUACUUGAGUCCAGCAGUCUCACCCCAGAAAGCUGGCUCUUGAUCACUGUGCCCUUCUGUCUGUCCAGUCGUUUUGUCAACGAGUAGAGUGGGAAGGAAGUCCUUAACUUCUGAGGGCCACCUACAGACUGCAACAAAAUGUUUUCUCCAACCUCAGUCUCGAUGGGAUGAGCGCUCGUUAGUUCCUCUACGUCGUACCUGGGGCUUUAGGCCACUGCUGGGUCUUCCUCUUCUAAAACAGAACCCACAGUGCACAUGGAUGUCUGGAAAACACCGCCUCGGAGGGCCGCACUUACCUUCCCAACUUAACACUGACUUCCAGACCUGGCUCUUGAAUUUCAUCCCUUUAUGCGGCAAGUACACAACCUUCAUUGGGCCAGCCUCUGGGAAUUGAGUCUAGUGGGUAGGUCCCUUACGUUUCUAAACCUCAGUUUUCUCAUCUAUAAGAUGGGGAUAAUAAUGACAUCUACCUAAUAUAUUUGAGGAGGAAAUGAGACAUUGUAUGCAAAGUAUCUCGUAAAGUGGCUGACAGAUAAGAACCCAAUAAAUACUGGCUAUUUUCAGCACCACCAUUAUCUUCACCGCCCAAUGGAUGCAGAAACAUAAGGUUCAAGUAAGUGAAAUAUGGUAAGAUAAUGAAUGAAAAGUAAAAUUAGUUGAUGUCUAUAAUAAGACAAAAAAGCCUCCUGUGAAUAUUUAUAUCUUAAAGAUCCAUGAUCUAUCAUUGGUUUCUUAAACAGGGUGUGGUAAAAACUUUAGGCUGCUGACAAGAAUUGCUUUAAAUGUUUACUUAGCAGGGGCAUCGGGGUGGCUCAGUUGGUUAAGUCUCCAAUUUCAGCUCAGGUCAUGAUCUCGUGAUUCAUGAGUUUGAGCCCCACAUCAGGCUCUGUGCUGACAGCUCACAGCCUGGAGCCUACUUCUGAUUCUAUGUCUUCCUCUCUCUCUGCCUCAUGAUCUCUCUCUCUGUCUCUCAAAAAUAAAUAAAAACAUUAAAAAAAAAAACCACAUCAAUUAAAAAAUUAAAAAUAAAAAUGAAUGUGUACCUAGCUAUCAUACUGAAAACACUUCUUGACUCCCUUCCAGAACUUUCUUCUUUUAGUCGAGACUGGCUAACUGCUCUAACAAACAACUCCCAGAACUAAAGUUGAUUUCUUGUUCAAGUUACAGUCAGUGAGGCGGUGAGCAGCUGGCCUCCUGUGCUGUGAUCCAGGCACUCAGGCUUUGACAUCUUGGGUUCAUCCAUCCCUUAGAGCCUCAGAUCUUCUCCUGGAUCCUCAAAAUCCAGACAUUGGAUGAAGGAGGAAAAAGAAUAGGACUCCCAGCAGGUUUUUAUGGGCCAAGCCUAGAAGCAAUGAGAUCACUCUCACCUACUUUCCAUUGGCCAGAACUCAGUCACAUGGUCACACAUAGCUAGGAGAGGGUCUGGGAAGUGUCCUAUGGUGAUGCCAUCAGGAGGCAAGAGAAAUGUUUUCAGUGACACAUUGUCUUGUCUGCCUUGCUCUCUACCAUAUUACUUUCAAAUUGCACAGUCUUAGCGCGCCUGGGUGGCUCAGUGGGUUAAGCAUCCAACUUCAGUUCGGGUCACGAUCUCACGGUUUGUGGGUUUAAGCCCCGUGUCAGUUUCUGUGCUUACAGCUCAGAGCCUGGAGCCUGAUUCAGAUUCUGUGUCUCACUAUUUCUCUGCCCCUCCCCUGCUCACUUGCUCGCGCGCGCGUGCGCGCUCUCUCUCUCUCU